UACGGGGGGGGCAAGCGUUGUUCGGAAUUACUGGGCGUAAAGGGUGCGUAGGCGGCUUUCUAAGUGGGAUGUGAAAACUCUGGGCUCAACCCAGAGACUGCAUCCAAAACUGGAGAGCUUGGGUUCUGGAGGGGAAAGCGGAAUUCCUGGUGUAGCGGUGAAAUGCGUAGAUAUCCGGAGGAACACCGGUGGUGUAGACGGCUUACUGGACCACGACUGACACUGAGGCACGAAAGCGUGGGUAGCAAACAGG
This 253-nucleotide ribosomal RNA is filed under the name uncultured bacterium. RNAcentral describes it as "partial 16S ribosomal RNA". It matches the Rfam family "Bacterial small subunit ribosomal RNA", at positions 524 to 776 of the family's 1533-position model. The record is from RNAcentral.